RNAcentral lists this small RNA (45 nucleotides) under Turneriella parva DSM 21527. RNAcentral's name for it is "abiF RNA". It matches the Rfam family "abiF RNA". Lineage: Bacteria; Pseudomonadati; Spirochaetota; Leptospiria; Leptospirales; Leptospiraceae. The record is from Rfam by way of RNAcentral.
CCCGCCAAGCCUCUGUGCGCAAGUGCAAGCUCAAAUCUGGCGGGU